GCUCCCUGCCCACCUCACCAGCUGGAGGGCAUGGAGCGAGAAGACCCGCCCCCAAGUCCAGCCUCCGCCAGUUGACUGGGUGACCUCACUGCAAGGCCCUCCCCUCUUUGGGCCUCAGUUUCCUCUUCAGAAAACAGAGUGAGUGGGCGCAUCUUUCUUCUCCGGCAGGCCGUUGACAUGAAAACCGAAGAGGAAAAUGGAGAAACCACACUAUCGAGAAGAGCUGUACAUGCCCCAUGGCAUAUAAGCCUCAUGGCAGCAGAGACCAGGUUGGCGCUUGGUACAUUGACUCCAUUCGUGGUUGCUGACCGAGGCGCAGAGCAGUAAAAGGUGUGUGUGUGUGGUGGGGGGCGGGGGGCAUGUCUUCAAGUCACGUGGCUGGCAAGUGAGGCUUCUUCUGAUGUCCUGAGUGGCCUGGCACUGGGGUGAGUGCCCAGGAAUGUAAUGAGCGCCCCACCCCCGGGGGCAUUCAAGCUCAUAGGCUGGACUUGGGAGAAGGUUCUGUAAGCAGGAGGCUAAACUGGAUGACUCCAAAAUAUUCCCAAAGAGCUUGGAACAUGGGCCAUGUGCACAUGUGUGUGUGUGAGCGUGC
RNAcentral lists this long non-coding RNA (592 nucleotides) under Bos indicus x Bos taurus (hybrid cattle). RNAcentral's name for it is "lncRNA (ENSBIXG00005030027.1)". The record is from RNAcentral. Lineage: Eukaryota; Metazoa; Chordata; Mammalia; Artiodactyla; Bovidae.